CCUACGGGGGGCUGCAGUGGGGAAUAUUGCACAGUGGGCGCAAGCCUGAUGCAGCCAUGCCGCGUGUGUGAAGAAGGCCUUCGGGUUGUAAAGCACUUUCAGCGGGGAGGAAGGCGUUAAGGUUAAUAACCUUGGCGAUUGACGUUACCCGCAGAAGAAGCACCGGCUAACUCCGUGCCAGCAGCCGCGGUAAUACGGAGGGUGCAAGCGUUAAUCGGAAUUACUGGGCGUAAAGCGCACGCAGGCGGUCUGUCAAGUCGGAUGUGAAAUCCCCGGGCUCAACCUGGGAACUGCAUUCGAAACUGGCAGGCUAGAGUCUUGUAGAGGGGGGUAGAAUUCCAGGUGUAGCGGUGAAAUGCGUAGAGAUCUGGAGGAAUACCGGUGGCGAAGGCGGCCCCCUGGACAAAGACUGACGCUCAGGUGCGAAAGCGUGGGGAGCAAACAGGAUUAGAUACCCGGGUAGUC
Molecule: ribosomal RNA, 465 nt
Filed under: uncultured Klebsiella sp.
Lineage: Bacteria; Pseudomonadati; Pseudomonadota; Gammaproteobacteria; Enterobacterales; Enterobacteriaceae
Description: bacterial SSU rRNA
Rfam family: Bacterial small subunit ribosomal RNA
Source: RNAcentral